Molecule: ribosomal RNA, 253 nt
Filed under: uncultured bacterium
Lineage: Bacteria
Description: partial 16S ribosomal RNA
Rfam family: Bacterial small subunit ribosomal RNA
Source: RNAcentral
UACGAAGGGGGCUAGCGUUGCUCGGAAUCACUGGGCGUAAAGCGCGCGUAGGCGGUUACUCAAGUCGGAUGUGAAAGCCCUCGGCUUAACUGAGGAAGUGCACCCGAAACUGAGUAGCUAGAGUACCAAAGAGGGUCGCGGAAUUCCCGGUGUAGAGGUGAAAUUCGUAGAUAUCGGGAGGAACACCGGUGGCGAAGGCGGCGACCUGGGUGGAUACUGACGCUGAGGCGCGAAAGCGUGGGGAGCAAACAGG